GACGAACGCUGGCGGCGUGCUUAACACAUGCAAGUCGAACGAAGUGGCGAACGGGUGAGUAACGCGUAAUCAAACUGCCCUUCAGAGGGGGACAACAGUUGGACACGACUGCUAAUACCGCAUACUGAAGGAGGGGAUUGCGUCUGAUUAGCUAGUGGGAGGGGUAACGGCCGACCAAGGCGAUGAUCAGUAGCCGGCCUGAGAGGAGGAACGGCCACAUUGGGACUGAGACACGGCCCAGACUCCGACGGGAGGCAGCAGUAGGGAAUCUUCCGCAAUGGACGAAAGUCUGACGGAGCAACGCCGCGUGAGUGAUGACGGGUUUCGGGUUGUAAAGCUCUGUUAAUCGGGACGCGGUACCUAACUAGAAAGCCACGGCUAACUACGUGCCAGCAGCCGCGGUAAUUC
This 408-nucleotide ribosomal RNA is filed under the name uncultured bacterium. RNAcentral's name for it is "partial 16S ribosomal RNA". It matches the Rfam family "Bacterial small subunit ribosomal RNA", at positions 28 to 526 of the family's 1533-position model. The record is from RNAcentral.